GCCUCAAUAGCUCAGUGGCUAGAGCGCUGGUCUAGUAUACCAAGAGGCCAGAGUUCGAUUCUCAUUGGAGGCA
RNAcentral lists this transfer RNA (73 nucleotides) under Penaeus vannamei (Pacific white shrimp). Its description in RNAcentral is "Litopenaeus vannamei (Pacific white shrimp) tRNA". It matches the Rfam family "tRNA". From Rfam's summary of the family: Transfer RNA (tRNA) molecules are approximately 80 nucleotides in length. Their secondary structure includes four short double-helical elements and three loops (D, anti-codon, and T loops). Further hydrogen bonds mediate the characteristic L-shaped molecular structure. tRNAs have two regions of fundamental functional importance: the anti-codon, which is responsible for specific mRNA codon recognition, and the 3' end, to which the tRNAs corresponding amino acid is attached (by aminoacyl-tRNA synthetases). tRNAs cope with the degeneracy of the genetic code in two manners: having more than one tRNA (with a specific anti-codon) for a particular amino acid; and 'wobble' base-pairing, i.e. permitting non-standard base-pairing at the 3rd anti-codon position. Lineage: Eukaryota; Metazoa; Arthropoda; Malacostraca; Decapoda; Penaeidae. The record is from Rfam by way of RNAcentral.